This is a long non-coding RNA of Saccostrea echinata, 1369 nucleotides long. RefSeq lists it as uncharacterized. NCBI's taxonomy places the organism in Eukaryota, Metazoa, Mollusca, Bivalvia, Ostreida, Ostreidae. The transcript is spliced from 3 exons. The record is from RefSeq and is a predicted model, not a curated record.
UUCAUUAAACAUGGACGACUGUGGCUGUCUGUUUUUGAUUUCGACAAAAUUGGAAUAGUGCAUGGUGCAAUAUCGUACUAUUAGACGAAGAAAGGAAAAAUGGUUCCCGUAGUGGUUGAGAUAGAGAAAACUCGGGAGGACCAUGCCGGAUUGCCUUACUGCCUUACGUGUCUCGCAUGCUGGGUUGGAUGUUGCUGUUUAUGGCCCUUAUCAUUAUUUUCUCUCAUCUUCGCAUGCCUUGCGGACCGUUUCAAGCGGCGUGGGGAUGACAGCUACAAAGUGUGUAGCUUGCUGUCCAUCGUUAUUAGUCUCGUCACCAUUGUCGUUGCAGGGCUGUCCUGGGUUUUUUUCUACAUCUACAUUUUCCCGUUGCUUUAUAGAUAUUAUUGGAGGUGGUGACCACUGAUAUAUAGAGUAACGGCCAUUCCUUAUUUAGACACCGGUCUUGUUAAACAUUAGAAAUAUUCGUAAAAUUUACACAAAAUCAUUUUUUUUUAAAAUUUGUCUGUGGUAUUUCCUAUAUCCAGUUAGUUUCAUAUGCAUGUACAUGUAUUUUAUUAAUAAUGUAAUCACAGAAUUCAUCAUACCUGUACCAUUAACGUUUAAAGGAGCUUAAUGGGAUGCUAAUGUCAAAUUUUCUAUUUUUAUAUGUUUGUUUGUUGAAAUCAUAGACUGUUCUUUUUUUUUUUUUACAUGUUUAAUAUGUUUUUAUCAAUUAAGUCAACUUUUUUAUAUACAGUAGCGAGAUUAAACAGUUCCUUUUAGGGGGUGAGGUGGGGGUUAAGCCUCUUUGUGAAUAUCAAAACUUUUUGGAUUAAACAUUAUACUGGUUCAGAUUUAUUUGUUGUGCCAUAGCUCCAUCAGCCUAUAAGGAAUAUUUUUUUUCAGGGAGAAGUAAGAGUUCAUGUAUAGUAUUUAGAGGCAUAACACUUUAUUGCACUGUUUGAUAUACUUUUUUGAAUGUUUCUGGAGAAGAGGCUGGAAAUUAAAAAAAAAAGAGAGAGGUUCAUGGGCUUGACGGUUACCUGAGUACCAUGAGGUUCUCAGGUUCUCAGGUUUUGAACACUGUGGCUCCACCUAUCUGACACUGUAACUCUAUAUAAUUUAUGUGACAAUUUUUUUUUUACUGUCUGUUGAGAAUUUUACAAUUAUUAGGCUCAUAAUUAUAGAGCUUGUUUCCUGGAAAUUGAGUAGUAUAGAAAAUAAUAAAUGUAAACGUUUACAAAAAUCUCAUCAUGGGACCUGUUACCUGGACCAUUGAGCCAUGAAUUUUAUAAUUUUUGUAAAGAACUACACACCGUAGCUGUUCAUUAUAAACAUGCAAAAGUUAUCUGUUUCAUGUCGAUAAGUAAUAAAAAAUAUUUCAAAA